This 357-nucleotide unclassified non-coding RNA is filed under the name soil metagenome. RNAcentral describes it as "partial contains 5.8S ribosomal RNA, internal transcribed spacer 2, and large subunit ribosomal RNA". The stretch from base 1 to 120 matches the Rfam family "5.8S ribosomal RNA", at positions 35 to 154 of the family's 154-position model. The record is from RNAcentral.
GAUGAAGAACGUAGCGAAAUGCGAUAAGUAAUGUGAAUUGCAGAAUUCAGUGAAUCAUCGAAUCUUUGAACGCACAUUGCGCCCGUCAGUAUUCUGGCGGGCAUGCCUGUUCGAGCGUCAUUACGCCCCUCAAGUCCCCUGUGGACUUGGUGUUGGGGAUCGGCGAGGCUGGUUUUCCAGCACAGCCGUCCCUAAAUUAAUUGGCGGUCUCGCCGUGGCCCUCCUCUGCGCAGUAGUAAAACACUCGCAACAGGAGCCCGGCGCCGUCCACUGCCGUAAAACCCCCCAACUUUUUAUAGUUGACCUCGAAUCAGGUAGGACUACCCGCUGAACUUAAGCAUAUCAAUAAGCGGAGGA